GGGUCAAUGAUGACAACCCUUAAUCUUGAAGUGAGGUGAUGACUUAAAAAUCAUGCUCAAUAGGAUUACGCUGAGGCCC
Small nucleolar RNA from Myotis lucifugus (little brown bat), 79 nucleotides. Its record names the gene SNORD115. It matches the Rfam family "Small nucleolar RNA SNORD115". Rfam says of the family: HBII-52 is a member of the C/D class of snoRNAs, which contain the C (UGAUGA) and D (CUGA) box motifs. HBII-52 is encoded in a tandemly repeated array with another C/D snoRNA, HBII-85, in the Prader-Willi syndrome (PWS) region of chromosome 15. NCBI's taxonomy places the organism in Eukaryota, Metazoa, Chordata, Mammalia, Chiroptera, Vespertilionidae. The record is from Ensembl.